Molecule: ribosomal RNA, 253 nt
Filed under: uncultured bacterium
Lineage: Bacteria
Description: partial 16S ribosomal RNA
Rfam family: Bacterial small subunit ribosomal RNA
Source: RNAcentral
GACAGAGGUGCCGAGCGUUAGGCGGAAUCACUGGGCUUAAAGCGUGUGUAGGCGGAUCGUUAAGUGCCUUGUGAAAUCCCACGGCUCACCCGUGGAACUGCUGGGCAUACUGGCGGUCUUGAGCCACCUAGGGGCAACCGGAACAAACGGUGGAGCGGUGAAAUGCGUAGAUAUCGUUUGGAACGCCAAUGGUGAAAACAACUCGCUGGGGAAGUGCUGACGCUGAGACACGAAAGCCAGGGGAGCGAACGGG